UUUUAAUUCCAAUAGCCAUCUAAUCAAAUCAUCACUAAAGAUUACCCCAUCCAUUUCUUGGUAAAAUGAAGUAAAUUAGGUGCAAUAAAAUUAGGAAAUUAUUAGUAAGAAUUUUUAAAACUGCGCUGCUGAUAUGCAACACUCAAAUUCCACCUAAUAUGCAUUUUUAUGAAUUGAGCAUUUGCACAUGACGUCACAGCCGCCAUGUUGGUGUUCCAAUUCAGAAUAAUUUUAAUUAGAUUCUUUUGUCUGAACACCAACAUGGCUGCCAUGGCUUUUGUUGAGUUGGUUCCUUGGGAAUGAGUGCAAACGCUCUAUUUCGUGCAAACAUAAAUAUGACAUCACACCGCAUUGCAAGUUUUUAGAGAGGUUUAUAGUCUCGGAAUGCUUUUCCAAAAUAUCUUAACAUUUUCUUCAUAUAAAUCCACAACCAUGGACUCGUGUAGCCUCCUUUUGUGUUUAUAGAUGUACCAAGUUCAAAAUUGUUUUUCAAAACCUCAUUCUGUAACGUGAUGCCAUAAGUAUAAUAUUUUGAUGUCAAGCAAAUUAAGUUUCAGAUUAGAAAAUUAUACAAGGGUUGUUCUUUGGUUAUCUGAAGUGAGCUUUAUAUAUGUGAAAACGCUGCGAUAAAAUUUCAUUUAAAUUAUAUAAGUGAACCUGCGUUUGCUCGCAUAGUCGCAUCUACCCUCUAAAGAAGAACGUGCGUUUAUAUUAAUAUAUAGACUGUAGUUAGUUUUUCAAAUUGUUUUUAUUCGUUUUGUUAAUUUGUUAAUUGUUAUGUUGAGAAAGAAUGUCGCACUUCAACCUGUAUGUGCAGCGAACAUUACUAACUAAAGAUCAUGCGGUUGCGACAUUGACCGCAAAAACAUUAAGAUUUAUGGUAUCGGCUAUAAACAUUGAAGUAAAUUAUUUGAAUAUAAGGACCCAUCCACAAUUAGCAACAUUUUUACAAGCAUACAUACAAAGCAUAUAUUGACUCGGGGGGCAAGAGUUAAUGACCAAUGUAUGCUUUUCAAAAUGUUGAACUUAUAUAGUCAGACCAAUCAUAGUAGCCGGUUCCCCUUAUUGCGUAUUCUGAAUACAACUACCAGCGUGCUUUUCGGACGUGGUAUUGCAUAAUGAAGAAAAUACCCGCAAAGUGUCAUGGUAGUUUUAUUCAGAAUACGUAAUAAGGGGCCUAUAUUCCAGAGGUUUGACAUUUCUAGAGUGUGCUGUGGGAAGGCGUAGAAAAACGGUACUGGUUAACUUUCUAUACGCUUGUAAAAAUGUUACUGAUUAUGGAGAGCCCUAACUCGAUAUUUAAAUGGGCACUGUAAAUUGUAUAGAAUGUAUCGUAUAGUUUAUAGGGAUAUAAUGAAAUUAUAUUAUAGUUUAUAGAGAAGAAAAGAAAAAGUCAUAUUUUUAGCAGACGUUAUGAUUGUCUUUCAUGGGUGGUAAUCUGAAGCAAUCAAAAUUAUACUGUGGUUCCCAGUUGAGUUUGGAACGCCACAACGAUGUUUUUUUCGACAAUGUUCACUUCAUUGAGUUUUGAUCCGCCUGCAAUUAUACUAUAAUCUUACAUAGGAGUUAAAAAUAACAGUUGCCACACUCUUAAUUGCUGUGAAGAAAAAGUACUAUGACUUAAUUUUAAACCCUAUAUAGUUAUAUUCCAAUCAAUACAGAUUUCUCGUCAUAAACUGGAUUUAUUUUAAGGUACGUUCGUUCCGUCAGGGUUCGCAUAGUCGUAAGUAUGUUCUGAAGCCGUAUUGAUAAUCGCGUCAGGUUCAUAACAGACGUUCUCGUUAGUAUUAGAUCCAUACAAAACGCAUUCGCUUGAAGCCGCGUCUACCGGUAGUUCAUGAUCUCUUUGGGAUCUUGGAGUUAUGUUUGCUGCAGGAAUAAACUGGGUUUAGAGUUUCGGCUGAUUUAACGGAAGGAUGUUGUAUGCCGUUGCGUUCAUACAAAUCUAGAAAAAAUGGAACUAUAAGAAUUGCUUCAACCUCGUACCCAG
Non-coding RNA from Paramuricea clavata, 1990 nucleotides. The record is from the annotation of a GenBank genome assembly. NCBI's taxonomy places the organism in Eukaryota, Metazoa, Cnidaria, Anthozoa, Malacalcyonacea, Plexauridae.